RNAcentral lists this ribosomal RNA (229 nucleotides) under uncultured bacterium. RNAcentral's name for it is "partial 16S ribosomal RNA". It matches the Rfam family "Archaeal small subunit ribosomal RNA", at positions 518 to 747 of the family's 1478-position model. The record is from RNAcentral.
UGCGUAGGCGGCUUAGCAAGUCUCCUGUUAAAUUCAGCGACCUAAUCGUUGAGCCGCGGGAGAUACUACUAGGCUAGGAGGCGGGAGAGGUCGACGGUACUUUCGGGGUAGGGGUGAAAUCCUAUAAUCCCGGGAGGACCACCAGUGGCGAAGGCUGUUGACUAGAACGCGCUCGACGGUGAGGGACGAAAGCUGGGGGAGCGAACCGGAUUAGAUACCCGAGUAGUCC